RNAcentral lists this ribosomal RNA (449 nucleotides) under uncultured bacterium. RNAcentral's name for it is "partial 16S ribosomal RNA". It matches the Rfam family "Bacterial small subunit ribosomal RNA", at positions 29 to 523 of the family's 1533-position model. The record is from RNAcentral.
AAUGAACGCUGGCGGCAGGCCUAACACAUGCAAGUCGAACGGAUCCUUCGGGAUUAGUGGCGGACGGGUGAGUAACGCGUGGGAACAUACCCUUUGGUACGGAAUAGCCUCGGGAAACUGGGAGUAAUACCGUAUGUGGUCGAGAGACGAAAGAUUUAUCGCCAAAGGAUUGGCACGCGUUGGAUUAGGUAGUUGGUGGGGUAAUGGCCUACCACGACGACGAUCCAUAGCGGGUUUGAGAGGAUGAUCAGCCACACUGGGACUGAGACACGGCCCAGACUCCUACAGGAGGCAGCAGUGGGGAAACUUAGAACAUGGGGACAACCCUGAUCUGGCCAUGCCGCGUGAUCGAUGAAGGCCUUAGGGUUGGAAAGAUCUUUCAGGUGGGAAGAUAAUGACUGUACCACCAGAAGAAGCCCCGGCGAACUCCGUGCCAGCGGCCGCCGUAA